RNAcentral lists this ribosomal RNA (246 nucleotides) under uncultured bacterium. RNAcentral's name for it is "partial 16S ribosomal RNA". It matches the Rfam family "Bacterial small subunit ribosomal RNA", at positions 531 to 775 of the family's 1533-position model. The record is from RNAcentral.
GGGGCUAGCGUUGUCCGGAAUCACUGGGCGUAAAGAGCUCGUAGGCGGUCUGUUAAGUCGGGUGUGAAAGCGCCCGGCUCAACCGGGCGAGGACGCAAUCGAACUGCGCGACUAGAGGUAGGUAGAGGCGUGUGGAAUUCCGGGUGUAGUGGUGAAAUGCGUAGAGAUCCGGAGGAACACCAGUGGCGAAGGCGACACGCUGGGCCUGACCUGACGCUGAGAUGCGAAAGCAUGGGGAGCGAACGG